UGCACCUAGUAUGAAAGUGCCUCGCUUUGAGAUGUCCUCGAACCUCACCACUUCUAAUUCGAAUUACGUAUCGUUGUAUGCUGUAUCCAGGUUGAUCGCAGUGCCUGGCGUUGAAGCAUGGGGUCAGUAGCUUGGGAUGCCGAAUAAUAAGGAAUACUGGAGUUCGAUUCGAGCAAGCAAUAUGCCAGAAAUACCUAAGUUGUGAUCAAGGAUCCCCAAAAUGAACGUUUGUUUGACAGCAAGCUACACCACGAGAUUUUGGAUCGGGGCGCUAAACGUGUAUUCUCUAGCAGCGACAUCAAACAUUCGAUUUCAAACAGCUGUUGUCAUCAGUUACUGCCUAAAGGUGACUCUGGACCUUUUCUUGGCUAAACUUUGCACAAAUAACCGAUAACGCGUGUAUGAUUGUUUCCCCAGCAUACUUCAUCCAAAGGCCUUCCUUUUGUCAGAGA
This 452-nucleotide small RNA is filed under the name Histoplasma capsulatum. RNAcentral describes it as "hypothetical RNA". The record is from RNAcentral. Lineage: Eukaryota; Fungi; Ascomycota; Eurotiomycetes; Onygenales; Ajellomycetaceae. RNAcentral also lists the same sequence under 1 other name.